This 27-nucleotide non-coding RNA is filed under the name Mus musculus (house mouse). Lineage: Eukaryota; Metazoa; Chordata; Mammalia; Rodentia; Muridae. The record is from RNAcentral.
UGGAUAGACAGUAUGAACAGUGCUCCA